Non-coding RNA from Xyrichtys novacula (pearly razorfish), 317 nucleotides. NCBI's taxonomy places the organism in Eukaryota, Metazoa, Chordata, Actinopteri, Labriformes, Labridae. The record is from the annotation of a GenBank genome assembly.
GUUAGGGUUAGGGUUGGAGUUAGGGUUAGUGUUGGAGCUAGGGUUAGGGUUGGGCUUGGAGCUAGGAUUUUUCUGAGUGCAAUGAACCAACUCCCGAGUCUCUUGGAUGUUCCUAAAAAAAUUUGAUUUUUUCCCAUAGGAAUGCAUGGGUUAUGGUUAGGGUUAGGGUUGGAGCUAGGGUUAGGGUUAGGGUUAGGGUUGGAGUUAGGGUUAGUGUUGGAGCUAGGGUUAGGGUUGGGCUUGGAGCUAGGAUUUUUCUGAGUGCACUGAACCAACUCCCGAGUCUCUAGGACAUUCCUAAAAAAAUUUGAUUUUUU